Molecule: ribosomal RNA, 495 nt
Filed under: uncultured bacterium
Lineage: Bacteria
Description: bacterial SSU rRNA
Rfam family: Bacterial small subunit ribosomal RNA
Source: RNAcentral
AUGAACGCUAGCGACAGGCCUAACACAUGCAAGUCGAGGGGCAGCACAAGGAGCAAUCUGAGGUGGCGACCGGCGCACGGGUGAGUAACACGUAUGCAACCUGCCUGUAAGCGGGGAAUAACCCGUUGAGAGACGGACUAAUACCGCAUAAUACUAAAUUACUGCAUGGUAAUUUAUUUAAACAUUUAUGGCUUACAGAUGGGCAUGCGCAUGAUUAGCUAGUUGGAGAGGUAACGGCUCCCCAAGGCAACGAUCAUUAGGGGUUCUGAGAGGAAGGUCCCCCCACACUGGUACUGAGACACGGACCAGACUCCUACGGGAGGCAGCAGCGAGGAAUAUUGGUCAAUGGACGAGAGUCUGAACCAGCCAAGUCGCGUGCAGGAAGAAUGUCCUAUGGAUUGUAAACUGCUUUUGCAGGGGAAUAAAGUGCAUCACGUGUGAUGUUUUGUAUGUACUCUGCGAAUAAGGAUCGGCUAACUCCGUGCCAGCCGCGGC